This 260-nucleotide long non-coding RNA is filed under the name Hordeum vulgare. RNAcentral describes it as "long non-coding RNA (HVUL_LNC003466)". Lineage: Eukaryota; Viridiplantae; Streptophyta; Magnoliopsida; Poales; Poaceae. The record is from RNAcentral.
AUUUAUUUUUUUGCCGCACUCAUCAUCGCAUCAUUUGCAGCAUCCGCAUUGCAUCGGCAUCCCGUUGUCGUCAGUUUUCAAAACUUGCAUUAGUUAUUAGUUGUCGGUUCUCCCGUGUUCGUCGUUGCCCAUUUGAGUCCAACCACCCAUGCACGCGCCCGCGGCAUCGUCAAAACCCUAUUUUUAAAAGUGUGUAUAAAACUUUCUCUGAUUGGGUUGAGACGUGGCAUGCGGUCUUAAUAUAUGAUAGGUAGACCACC